GACAGAGGGUGCAAACGUUGCUCGGAAUCACUGGGCGUAAAGGGCGUGUAGGCGGGAAGGAAAGUCGGGCGUGAAAUCCCUGGGCUCAACCCAGGAACUGCACUCGAAACUUCUUUUCUUGAGUGCCGGAGAGGAAAGCGGAAUUCCUGGUGUAGAGGUGAAAUUCGUAGAUAUCUGGAGGAACACCAGUGGCGAAGGCGGCAUCCUGGACCGGUAUUGACGCUGAGGCGCGAAAGCCAGGGGAGCAAACGGG
Molecule: ribosomal RNA, 253 nt
Filed under: uncultured bacterium
Lineage: Bacteria
Description: partial 16S ribosomal RNA
Rfam family: Bacterial small subunit ribosomal RNA
Source: RNAcentral